CAUAUUCUCUAAGGAGGAAAGCAGGGGAUCGCAAGACCUUGUGCUUUUGGAGCGGCCGAUGCCUGAUUAGCUAGUUGGUGGGGUAAAGGCCUACCAAGGCAACGAUCAGUAGUUGGUCUGAGAGGACGACCAGCCACACUGGGACUGAGACACGGCCCAGACUCCUACGGGAGGCAGCAGUGGGGAAUUUUGGACAAUGCGGCGAGAGCCUGAUCCAGCAAUGCCGCGUGAGUGAAGAAGGCCUUCGGGUUGUAAAGCUCUUUCAGUCGAGAAGAAAAGGUUGUGACAAAUAAUCACAACUUAUGACGGUAUCGACAGAAGAAG
Molecule: ribosomal RNA, 324 nt
Filed under: uncultured beta proteobacterium
Lineage: Bacteria; Pseudomonadati; Pseudomonadota; Betaproteobacteria
Description: bacterial SSU rRNA
Rfam family: Bacterial small subunit ribosomal RNA
Source: RNAcentral